RNAcentral lists this long non-coding RNA (1032 nucleotides) under Brassica napus (rape). RNAcentral's name for it is "long non-coding RNA (BNAP_LNC008551)". Lineage: Eukaryota; Viridiplantae; Streptophyta; Magnoliopsida; Brassicales; Brassicaceae. The record is from RNAcentral.
AUGUCAGACUUUUUGAUCUCAAUUAAACCGGUUAUAUCCCUUCACGUAACAGGUUGUCAGUUCCACUUCCAAAUAUAAGAGACGUGGUUUUUUUAGGAACACUUAAUUAUACGAAACAUAUAUGACAAUUGUACACAUGAUGGAAAAUGAAAUAUUCUAUUUCAUCUCACGAACAUAGUAAAGUACUAUAAACACAAUUAGAAUCACAACCAACUUCCAACCCCAACCAAUCUCUAACCCUGAAAUAUUAGACCUUAAACCAACCCACCUCGAAACCAUAAAUACUAACCCCUAAACCCAAAUUCAUAAACCCAAACCCAAUGUAAAAUAUCUUUAAUAAAUUAAAAUAUAAAAUAAUAUAUAAUUAACUAUUUUAUUUCACCUCGCCAAUGUAGUAUAGUACUAAAAUCACUAGAAUCACAACCAACCUUUAACACUGAAAUACUAAACCCUAAACCAACUCACCUCAAAUCCAUAAAUACUAAACCCAAAACCCGAAUUCAUAAACCCAAACCCAAAUAUAAAAUUUUUUUAAUAAAUUAAAAUACAAAAAUAGUAUAAAUUUAAUUGUUCAAUUUCAUCUCACCAACAUAGUAUAAUACUAUAACCACCAGAAUCACAACCAACCUCCAACACUGAAAUACUAAACCUUAAACCAACCCACCUCAAAGCCAUAAAUACUAAACCUUAAACCUGAAUUCAUAAACCCAAACUCAAAUGUAAAAUAUCUUUAAUAAAUUAAAAUACGAAAAUAGUAUAAAUUUAACUGUUCUAUUUCAUUUCACCAACAUAGUAUAGUACUAUAACCACAAUCAGAAUCACAACCAAUCUCCAAUCUCAACCAACCUCCGACCCUGAAAUACAAGAUCCUGAACAAACCCACCUCGAAGCCCUAAAUACUAAACUCUAAACCCGAAUUCAUAAACCCAAACCCAAAUGUAAAAUAACUUAAAUAAAUCAAAAUACAAAAAUAGUAUAUAAUUAAUUGUUCUAUUUCAUCUAACCAACGUAAUAUAGUACUAAAAUCACAAU